Molecule: ribosomal RNA, 1069 nt
Filed under: Gobioecetes biwaensis
Lineage: Eukaryota; Metazoa; Platyhelminthes; Monogenea; Dactylogyridea; Dactylogyridae
Description: bacterial SSU rRNA
Rfam family: Eukaryotic small subunit ribosomal RNA (bases 1-513)
Source: RNAcentral
CUAACCUGCUAAAUAGUACGGUUGCAAUUUUUAUACGGAUACCUGUCGCUGGGCUCAGGUCUGGCAACAGGCCCGUAUAAGCAGGUGAGACUUCUUAGAGGGACUGGCGCAGAAAAAGGCGCACGAGAAAGAGCAAUAACAGGUCUGUGAUGCCCUAAGAUGUCCGGGGCCGCACGCGUGCUACAAUGACGAUGCUACUGAGCAUGAUUAACUGGUCCGAAAGGAUUGGUGAAACUGGUCAAUCAUCGUCGUGCCUGGGAUUGGGGUUUGCAAUUAUCCCCCAUGAACCAGGAAUUCCUAGUAAGCACAAGUCAUCACCUUGUGCUGAUUACGUCCCUGCCCUUUGUACACACCGCCCGUCGCUACUACCGAUUGAAUGGUUUAGCAAGGUCAUUGGAUUGAGUCCUAGCGGUUCACGCUGCUUGGAUUUGAGAAGAUGCCCGAACUUGAUCAUUUAGAGGAAGUAAAAGUCGUAACAAGGUUUCCGUAGGUGAACCUGCGGAAGGAUCAUUACGAAGUUCCAAUCUGGUGUAGACACCUUCUACACAAGCGUCGUGCAAUGCGGCUGGCGGAACCUGAAAGGGAACCGUUAGUCUCACCACGUCGCGCCGGUCUAUGGGAGUUCGCCUCCCGCUGACCACUUAUGGUACAGAAACGAACGUCAGCUACUCGCCGGUAACACUCUUACUGCGUUGAGUACUGGCGUUUCGUCCUGCGAGCCCCUGGACUUGCUCUCAGCCGGUGUCGUGGCCUGUGAUGGUGCCACGUUUACUGACUGAGGGCUAGAUUGCAUAGUUCAGCUCGAUGGCUUGCACCAUCACACCCCCUCCCUGCUAACGCGGGUUGAGUCUAUUGAAUUUUACCAACAUAACCUACGUAGCGGCUAACCCUGUUACGAGAGUGGGCUGGUAGUGCUGCGUCUACCUUAGUAUGGUUUUGUCUACGGGCUCUACUGUACGGGUAACACGUUCACGCACAACAACCGACCACUCUACCCCUGGCGCUGGUUCUCUUGUGGGACCACUGCCAACCUGUACAACUGCAAGUGGUGGAUCACUCGGCUCAUGCG